CAGGCAUGGUACCACUGAGCUAAAUCCCUGACCCAGUUUUAGUAUUUUUAAGAUUUGGUAUUUUGGGGGCCAGGGCAGCACAGCACCUGCCUGGCAAGUGUGAAGCCCUGAGUUUGAUUUCCAGUACAAAAAAAAAUGGUUUGGUAUUUUUAAAAAUGAAAAUGAGGGCUGGGGAUUUAGCUCAGUGGUUCUGCCGCCUGCUUCACAAGGGCAAGGUCCCGAGUUUGAUCCCCAGUCCAAAAAAAACCCAAAAACAUAAAAAAUAAAAAUGAAAAUGAAAUGCCAGGCAUAGUGGUACACACCUGUAAUCCCAGCUACUCAGAAGGCUGAGGCAGAAGCAUUGCAAGUUUGAGCCCAGAUGGGUAACUUAUUUUAUUGAGACCCUGCCUCACAAUAAAAAAAAAAUUUUCAGUGGUAGAGUGUGCCUCGGUUCAAUCCCCAGUAUGAGAGAGAGAGGGGAGAGAGAGAGAGAAGUAAGGGAGGGAAAAAGAAAAGAAACUGGGCAUGGUGGCACAUGCCUAUAAUCCCAGCACUCUGGGAGACUGAGGCAGGAGAACUGCAAGUUCAGGCACAGCCUAGGGAACUUCGUAACUUAGCAAGGCCCUGUCUCAAAAUUUUUAAAAAAUAAUAAAAAGGGAUAGGGAUCUAGCUCAGUCCAAAGGCAACAGCUAUGGAUUCAAUCACUAGUAAAGGGGAGGAAAAAAAAGACAAAAUGCCCCAAAAUGAUCAAAGGGACUAGGGUUAAAGCCUCUUCCAGAAAAUAGCCACAGCUGAUCCCACCUUUGGACAACAGAUUUGUCACAGAAUUGCCCCAGAUGUGAUACUUGGUGGUGGGGUGGAUUUGGGCUUGUCUGAGACCCUCACCUUCCACCUCUGCUGCCCCAAAGCCUCCUGGGAGGCCAUUCAUAGCCAGGGUGACUCUGGGUCCUAAAGUAAUGUUAGUGGAAACUUAUCCCCUCUCUGCCAGAUCCCAGCUGCCCUGAUGCCUAAAGGUGGCAUAGGACAGCAUGUGACAUCUAGGCAGCCUGGGGAGGACCAGUCCCCAAUGGGCCCCCAACUUGCUACAUGCCCUUGACCAAGCUUCUACCCCUCUGUGGCCUCUGUUUUCCCAUCUGUUCAAGGAAAUUGACUUUAAUAAUCUCUUAGACUCUUUAGCUCUGCAUGGCAGAAACAAUGGCCCAAAUCUUAUUUUUUUGCACAAUAUUUUCCUUCCUAAUGAAGCCAGGCCAAGAUUAAAAUGGCCUUCCAUUCCCCAUGCAUCUCAUCGCAAGCAGCAGAGCCACAGAUCUGAAGCAGGCCAGGGAGAAGGUACUUAGGGUUUAAAUGUCAAACUUGAUCCUUCUCACUGGAAGGAAUAUGUCUCGUGGAUAAUCCAGAAAUGUGAAAUAAUCCAAAAACCGUUUCUCCCAAGCUCUGGUUGGGGAAAUGAAUGGGUAUGGGGCCUGGGUGUUUGGGCAGGUCUCAGCUCAGUGAAAUACAUAAUGGAACCACCCAGUGAGGCUGAACACAGGAGGAACUGGGAUGCCAUCCAGCCCCACAUUCUGGCCCUGCUCCCCACCCAGGGCUGGGAGUUAACAGCACUGUCCUCCAACUGAUUUGUGCAGUUAUUCCAGAGGUAUCUGUGCAGCAAUCCCAUGUGCCAGGUAUUGCAGCACCAUUUGGUCCUCAGGGGGCUUCCACUUUAGAGAGAAAGACAGUAAACAGAACAACACUGACAAUUUGAUCAUUACAACUGUGGGAAAGAUGGUGCAGAAGAAACAAAGCUAGGAAACUGUGAGAGUCUGCAAGAGGGUGACCAGACCUUGAAGCUCCUGCCCAAAGGAUGAAGGGACUAAACAGCUAGAUGGGGAAGAGUGCUCUGUGCAGAGGGAACAGCAGUGUGUACAGCCUUGAGGCAGGAAGGGGCUUGGCUCUGAGGAACUGAUGGAAAAGCAGUUAAGCUAAAUGAAGAAGCAAGGCAGGUAGGGCCAGAUCAAGCAAGGAACUGGAAGGGGUUGGACUAUUCCAAGACAGAUGAGGGGUACUGCAGAGGGGCUUCUCACCUGGAAUGCUCAGGUCACAGACAUUGAAGCAGGAAGACUGGCUCUCCUGGUCCAGACAAACAGUGGUGGUAGCUUGGGACAAGGUCUCCCUUCUUUCUCUAAAAUGGCACACAAGCUCCUCCAUGUAGAGCAACCCUCCAGUGCCAGUUAAAAUCAUGGUAGGAGUGAGAGAGUUGAGGGUAUAGGAAGGAAAGUGGCAAGAAAGGAGAAUUAAUAGAGGGAGUCACAUUGUCAACAGAAGGCUUAAACAGAGAAGACAAUGACACGCUCACUCACCAACAGGCAGUGAGCAGCUUUGAUGCUGGGAGAAGCACUGGAGAAGCAGUAAUUCAGCUCAGCCACGCAUCUUGAGCUCUUCUGUGCUCCUUCAUUGCCAAGCACUGAGGAGACAAAGCAGACAUGGCCUCUGUCCUCGAGUUCAGCAUCCACCCCAGGAAGCUAAAGCAAGUACACAAAGAACCUAAAAACACCUGGUAGGAAGUGGCAGAUGCCCAGAGGCAGGAACAGACAAAGAGAGUAUGCCAGGCAGCUGGAGUUAUGGUCAGAAAUGUUCCCUCUGCCUGCUUGGUGAGAAAAGGGACACACAUUUAUGCUGGGCCCUUUUGUGUAAUUCUGCCCCCAUGAAUCUUUUAUAGUGACCUGGGAGUGACUGUGCUUCCUGCCCCCAUCGGAGUUGAGGAAACAGGUACAGCUAGGAACCUGGCCCAGGGGACCCAUAUAUGGUAGAGCCAGAUUUGGAACAUAUUACUGCCCCUCCACAGCCUGGGGACUCUUGCCAUGCAGCUGCACUUUUCCACCCCGCACCCUGGUUCCCCAGCUGCAAAAUGAAGGGGUCAGAUUGGACAAGCUCUACAGUUCAUUUUGGAUCUGACAUUUUAAGUGGAUUUUGAGGUUCUGUGGAAGAAAUGGCACUUGAAUUUGACCUUGAAGAAUAGGCAAGACUUGAAAACAGGGAAGGGCAUUCCAGGCUGUGGGAACUGUGUACAAAGGCAGGUUACCUCUCAGAGUGAGUAGAAGAUGAAAGGUCCAAGGAGGGAGUGGGGAAUGUGGGGCACAACUGGGCUGAGAGCUGUGGCUGACAGGACAGAGAUGGGGAGGGGGGUGGGCCAUGCAGAUAGCUUUUCUGGUCCAGACAGACUGGCUCCACACUGGGACCCUGUGGGCUGAAGAUUGGCCCUAGCAGUCCUGGGGAUGAGAGUGGGAGAGUAGAAAGGGCCUCCGAGGUGUUCAGGAAUCUUGAGUCCUCCCCGCCCCCUUCGUCUUCCCCUCAGAGGGCCUGGAACUGAAGCCAAGAGAAAUGUCACAGGUCCUCCAAGGUUAUACCAGCUGGGGCCUGACUGGAGCAGGAGGCAGUUUCCAAGGCCACCAUCCAGCUGGGGUCAGCAGGCAUGUCCAGGCCUGGCUGCUCUGGGCUUUGUCUCUCUGUGUCUUGAAACCUUGAGAGGUCACUUGAUCUUGCCCCUCACUCUGAGCAAGAGGCUUCUAGUCAGGCAGGGCUCAGCCAGUCCUGCCGUGCUUAUUACGGGCUCCAGCUUUUCCUCCUUCUCUGAACCCAUCCACCCUCCGAUCCUAUCUCUUGCCACUCCUGCAGCCACAUUUCUGCUGGUCCGCCUGUGCCGAGGCUCCAGUCCCUGGAAAUGCUAUCUCUCUGUGAACACAUCCUCUCGCACUCCCUCCUCUCUCAGCUCCCCACAUCCCGGAGCAGAGCUCUGCAACUGGAGGGUGAUGGCUAGGAGCCCACCUGCGGUUUCAGAAAAGCCUCUGCGCACAGCCUGGUUCCAUCCCUUCCCAGCUAGGUGACCUGCUUUCAGAAAACCAACGCCAAGACCCCUCCUGUCCUCUGGCAGGAGCACCUGCCCCUCUGCCUCCCACACCCCCUGCAGCCCCAUCUCCCCCUUACCCCCCAUCUCCACGCAGAAGCCGAAGGUGAGCCCUUUCUGCACAAAACCAGCAAUUGUAAAUACUUUUUAAAAAUGUACAAAACUUAAAAACAAAACACAGUUUUAGAAAAAGACAAAAAAAAAAAAGAAGCGAGAGAGCGGGCGUGUGCAAGAGGUUGCGGCGGGGCCUCCAGGUGUCCAGAGUCCCUGCAAGUAUGCACUGAGAAAUUUAUCUACAGGUCGUUUGACAAAAAUGAACAAUAUCCUAUUUAUUGUAUAUACUGUUUUAUUAUAAAUCGUGGAUUGUAUAUUGCGUUCUGUAAACCUGCUGUGGUCCCGUGGUGUGCAAAUUCGCAUGGUGGGGGGGAGGGUGAAGAACCUCUUGCGGGAGCUCUCUUUUUUUUUUUUUCCUUAUUUUUCACUCUUUUGGGUUUCUCUUCUGUUGUUGUUGUUGUUUUCUGUUGGCAGGACACACCCAAAGAUCCAAGUUUGUAUUAAAAAGAAAUGAAAAAAAGCAAAAAAAAAAAAAAAAAAAAAAAUGCCAACUUUGUGUCUUGUGAAAGGGGGUGAGUGAGGGAGGGCGGAGUGGAAGAGACACAGCUGGGGUUUGUCACCAGCCACUAGAUUCCACAGAGAAGUUAAACUACCUACAAGUGUUCCCUACCUUUGACCUCUCCCUUCUGCAUGAACUCGGGGUCACCUUUGCAUUUAGGUCUUCCCAAGCCCUAGAUCUCCCUUGCCUGUCUCUGGGCCCCCUACUACACCCCAUGCCCCGGGCCUUUCCUGCCUUCACUCCCUGGCCUUUAAUCCCCAAAGUUCUACCCUAGUUUAGUGGGCACCUAUCUGAGAUACUCAUUCCUGAACCCAAGAACCCAGGGGAUAUCUGCUUGUCCCCAGGACUGGAGUAUCCCCUGCUAUGUGCCUCCCUUUGCUCCAGGUCCUGGAUCUCAUCUACCUCAGGGGCCCCCUUUUACCCCAACACACCUGUACUUACUUAUACAGAGCCCAAGGUACAAUAGGCUAGUCACCUGAUGUUUCUCCACCUUCUGCUUUCCAUCUUGAAUCCCAAAUGCUGGGUCUAUGUUUCCUUUCAGCUUUGGUAAACUGAAAAAGGAGAACUUCUAACCCAGUCCGUUUUUCUGCUGGGCCUGGAAGAGCUUAGCUGUUUCCCACUGCUUGACAUUGGGAGAUCUUGGCUGUUCUCUCCCCAAACAGUGCCCCCUGUGGCCUCCUGAUCUUUAGAAGCAGUUUUUCCCAUGACUCAUCAUUUUUGUGUUAAAGCUCCUCUGAAUGUGGCUUCUCCCUGUCUGCCCCAGUGAAGCUCAGACACACAGGGAUGGCUCCUUGCUGACCCAACCAGCAAGGCCCAGGUCUUGGAAGAGUUGGAGGAACCCUUGGUCAAGGGGGAAACACACCCUACCUCCUGGGUGCCUCUGUUUAAGUGAAGCCAGAGGACACAGACAGGUCACAGUCCUGGAAAACUGUAGCCUGUGUGCUGGGUAUAAAGGCCCAUCUACCCACCUAGCCCCUCUACACCUUCCUAAGUGUCCUACUCUUCCCAUCUGCUGCUGAGAAGGCAACAGCACACUCAAGUUGACAGUCUCCUGUGGAGAUAGAAGUGGGGGCAGAAAGCAGAAGGCCAAGAAGGGUGGCUUCCCAGAGGAAAAAGCUUUCAAAGAGCCUGGCUGAGGAUGCUAGGCAGGAAAAUGAGGGCAUUCCUGAAGAAGGAAAGAGCAUGUGCAAAGACCUAGAGGAGCUGGAUUGUGGCAGGAGUUGCAAAAGCCCAGUUAGCCAGGUGUGGUGGUACAGGCCUGUGAUCCCAGCACCCUGGAGCCUGAAGCAGGAAGAUCACUGUGAGUUCAAGGCCAGCCUGAACUACAGAGUGAGAAACUAACCAGAAACCAAUCCCUGCCCCACCCAAAAAAGAAAGCAGCAGCAGCCCAGUUAGAUCUGUCUGGAGUAAACACUACAUGUGUUCAGGAGGAUAGAGGACUUUGGCAAGAGAAUCCAGUGGGAACUACUGUGAUGGGCCAACCCAAGAGAAGGGCUUUGCAGCCCAAGAAUUACCGGGCAGGGAGGAAAUGCUUUGUUCAAUAACUGUUGAGGUUGGCCAGGUGGGGUGGGCUGGGCUAAGUGGGCCUCUGGAAAAUUUGAGGUUCAGUAAGAGGUGAAUCAUCUGAGGGCUUAAAGGAGAGGCAGUAGGGGGAUUACUCAAUGGAAGGGAUUGGGCCUAACAGCAGAUCCAACUCAGAGUUGAAGGGUAGUUAAGGGUUUUGGGCCCUUCCAGAAUUAGGGUGGGGAGAGGAGACCCAUGAAGGAAAUGAGAGUUUAGGGAGGUGAUUAUAGCACAGAAAGGGGUCAUUAACUUGAAGAAAGGGCGGGAAUUCACCUCAAAAGAUACCAAGAAAGAGAGCCAGAGAAAGAUUGGAAGGGAGGCUUGGUGAAGAGAACUAGGUGAGAGAUAAACGGAAAAGUCAAUAGGAAAAUGGGAAAUUGGAUCAAGAGGGGCCUCAGGGUGGAGUCAGCUGCAUAGUAAGGGGUGAGGAGGGCCAGUGAGGGCCAAAAUCUAUUUUGCAGACCAGCCAGGGCCAAAGGCCCAGCCUCUGAGAUGAAAGGUUAUCAGUUCCCUUAGGAGUACCUAGAAUGCCUGAGGAAAGGGCAGCAGAGACCUGCCCAGGUGGGUGGGGCAGGCAUGGAGUCACCUGUUUUAUCUGUUGUUUUUAGGGGCUAGGGCUCCUCCCCAAAGCCAGGGUGCCACACCUGAAACCAGA
RNAcentral lists this long non-coding RNA (6693 nucleotides) under Heterocephalus glaber (naked mole-rat). Its description in RNAcentral is "lncRNA (ENSHGLG00100035778.1)". Lineage: Eukaryota; Metazoa; Chordata; Mammalia; Rodentia; Bathyergidae. The record is from RNAcentral.